AAAAAUAAAAAUUUGAUGCAGAAAAAUAAAAGAGAAUUUUAGAAAUUAUUUUGGAUAAAAAGUGAAAUUAUUACGAAUUUUUAAAGAAAAAGAAAUUUAAAAUAAUAAAAGAAAAAGAAUUAAAAUCAGAAAAAAUCAUUAGCGUUCGAUCAUGCUUCAUUAAUUGACGUGCUAGAUCCAACACUCCAAAUGAUAAGAAACACAAUGGAUC
This 211-nucleotide long non-coding RNA is filed under the name Lathyrus oleraceus (garden pea). RNAcentral's name for it is "Pisum sativum (pea) long non-coding RNA (PSAT_LNC032188)". The record is from RNAcentral. Lineage: Eukaryota; Viridiplantae; Streptophyta; Magnoliopsida; Fabales; Fabaceae.